UAGAAGUCAGGUCGGAUUAAGCCAUAGCACGGAAAAAACUAUGCUACCUGUGAGCCCCGUCCAAGGACGUUAAAAGAAGUCAGGCCAUCAUAAAUGCCAUAGCUUGAGUAAACUAUGCUGCCUGUAGCUCCACCUGAGAAGGUGUAAAAAAAUCUGGGAGGCCACAAACCAUGGAAGCUGUACGCAUGGCAUAGUGGACUAGCGGUUAGAGGAGACCCCUCCCUUACAAAUCGCAGCAACAAUGGGGGCCCAAGGCGAGAUGAAGCUGUAAUCUCGCUGGAAGGACUAGAGGUUAGAGGAGACC
RNAcentral lists this long non-coding RNA (304 nucleotides) under dengue virus type 2. RNAcentral describes it as "Dengue virus 2 partial sfRNA1". The stretch from base 244 to 304 matches the Rfam family "Flavivirus DB element", at positions 1 to 61 of the family's 72-position model. The record is from RNAcentral. Lineage: Riboviria; Orthornavirae; Kitrinoviricota; Flasuviricetes; Amarillovirales; Flaviviridae.